AGUGAACGCUGGCGGUAUGCCUAACACAUGCAAGUCGAACGGCAGCACAGUAAGAGCUUGCUCUUACGGGUGGCGAGUGGCGGACGGGUGAGGAAUACACCGGAAUCCACUUUUUCGUGGGGGAUAACGUAGGGAAACUUACGCUAAUACCGCAUACGACCUACGGGUGAAAGCAGGGGAUCUUCGGACCUUGCGCGAUUGAAUGAGCCGAUGACGGAUUAGCUCGUUGGCGGGUUAAAGGCCCACCAAGGCGACGCUCCGUAGCUGGUCUGAGAGGCUGAUCAGCCACACUGGAACGGGAACACGGUCCAGACUACUACGGGAGGCAGCAGUGGGAAAUAUUGGCCAGUGGGAGCAAGCCUGAUCCAGCCAUACCGCGUGGGUGAAGGAGGCAUUCGGGUUGUGAGGCCGUUUUGUUGGGAAGGAAAAGCAGCAGGUUAAUACCCCGAUGUUCUGACGGUACCCGAAGAAUAAGCACCGGCUAACUUCGUG
Molecule: ribosomal RNA, 492 nt
Filed under: uncultured bacterium
Lineage: Bacteria
Description: partial 16S ribosomal RNA
Rfam family: Bacterial small subunit ribosomal RNA
Source: RNAcentral